This 64-nucleotide transfer RNA is filed under the name Valentia hoffmanni. Its description in RNAcentral is "tRNA-Tyr". The record is from RNAcentral. Lineage: Eukaryota; Metazoa; Arthropoda; Insecta; Hemiptera; Reduviidae.
GAUGGAAUGACUGAUAAUAGGUAAUAAAUUGUAAAUUUAUGUAUGAUCGAUUGAUCUUUCAUCA